GCGAUUUACAGACAAACUGUGUAUUUUGUUUUUAUUUUUUAUUAUAUUUAAUGCUUAAUGUAUAUGGCGUAAGAUUCGAUGUGAUAGGGAAUCUUGAAAAGUUUUUGAUUUUUGAGGUGAAAUAAACAAGGCCUUCAGUCUUCGUCGGAUUCCGAUACGGGCAUUGAUGUCGCGUUGUCAAAGAGGUACGUGCAGUGACGAGGAGGAAGUACAUGUGCGUCCGGGAGCC
Molecule: long non-coding RNA, 229 nt
Filed under: Sorghum bicolor (sorghum)
Lineage: Eukaryota; Viridiplantae; Streptophyta; Magnoliopsida; Poales; Poaceae
Description: long non-coding RNA (SBIC_LNC017897)
Source: RNAcentral